RNAcentral lists this small nuclear RNA (145 nucleotides) under Malassezia pachydermatis. Its description in RNAcentral is "U4 spliceosomal RNA". It matches the Rfam family "U4 spliceosomal RNA". From Rfam's summary of the family: U4 small nuclear RNA (U4 snRNA) is a component of the major U2-dependent spliceosome. The structure of U4 snRNA from yeast and human has been reported. U4 snRNA presents a k-turn RNA motif in the 5p-SL related to recognition of Snu13 protein. The record is from Rfam by way of RNAcentral. Lineage: Eukaryota; Fungi; Basidiomycota; Malasseziomycetes; Malasseziales; Malasseziaceae.
AUCUUUCUGCAUGGACAGGAUCUACGGUCACUGAGGUAACAACCGAGACGUAGACUUUUGCUUAUCGCAAACUAAACGAACCACAACGUCUGAUUCUAUUUCUUUUGAAACAUGAUUCAGCAAUUUUUCUCCUUGUGAUUCCUUG